AGAUAUAAAGCUAAUUUUGUGGUUUGUUGUUAGAUAAAGUUUGAAGGCCAUGUUAGAACACCCGAAAGCCGUGGAGAUGUAGCGUUUUAUUCUGAGCAUGAAGCCGGCCCCUGGUGUUGUUUUUACAGUUACUACUACAUGUUGAUGAUUGUUCUUGUUCUUAAGAAGAGAACGCUCAUUGAGCGGU
RNAcentral lists this small nucleolar RNA (187 nucleotides) under Phocoena sinus (vaquita). RNAcentral describes it as "Small nucleolar RNA U3 (ENSPSNG00000019103.1)". It matches the Rfam family "Small nucleolar RNA U3". Rfam says of the family: Small nucleolar RNAs (snoRNAs) are involved in the processing and modification of rRNA in the nucleolus. There are two main classes of snoRNAs: the box C/D class, and the box H/ACA class. Lineage: Eukaryota; Metazoa; Chordata; Mammalia; Artiodactyla; Phocoenidae. The record is from Rfam by way of RNAcentral.